AGCAGCCGCGGUAAUUCCAGCUCCAAUAGCGUAUAUUAAAGUUGUUGCAGUUAAAAAGCUCGUAGUUGAACUUCAGGCCUGGCUGGACGGUCCGCCUUCUGGGUGAGUACUGUCUGUGGUCGGGUCCUACCUUCUGGCGAAGCGUCAUGGCCUUCACCGGCCGUGGCGGGGAGCCAGGACUUUUACUGUGAAAAAUUAGAGUGUUCAAAGCAGGCACGCGCUUGAAUACAUUAGCAUGGAAUAAUGGAAUAGGACAGUGGUUCUAUUUGUUGGUUUCUAGGACCGUUGUAAUGAUUAAUAGGGAUAGUUGGGGGCAUUAGUAUUCAAUUGUCAGAGGUGAAAUUCUUGGAUUUAUUGAAGACUAACUACUGCGAAAGCAUUUGCCAAGGAUGUUUUCAUUAAUCAAGAACGAAAGUUAGGGGAUCGAAGACGAUCAGAUACCGUCGUAGU
Molecule: ribosomal RNA, 450 nt
Filed under: uncultured Paraglomus
Lineage: Eukaryota; Fungi; Glomeromycota; Glomeromycetes; Paraglomerales; Paraglomeraceae
Description: SSU rRNA
Rfam family: Eukaryotic small subunit ribosomal RNA
Source: RNAcentral